Molecule: long non-coding RNA, 1400 nt
Organism: Girardinichthys multiradiatus
Lineage: Eukaryota; Metazoa; Chordata; Actinopteri; Cyprinodontiformes; Goodeidae
Exons: 2
Source: RefSeq, a predicted model, not a curated record
UUUCCCUUUUUUUUUUCCCCUCGCAGGCGGAUAAACACGACUGCUUUACCUACCAACCGACUGCCUGACACGGCUCUUACGCAACAGCCGACGGAUACCUUUUGAAUAUCAUUUCAUCUACCAGUUUAUUACGAUCGUUGAGGACCCAAGUGCAGACUGGACAAUGGCAAGAUCAUUUGAAGUGACCUUUAAUGAAAUAACCAUGGGGGAAAAAAAGACUUUGAGAACUGUGGGUGAUAAGCAGGAAGAACCAAUGAUGGAAAAACAUGCAAGAUGCCAGGAGGGAACAGAGGAAUCCAACCACUGACUGAAAUAAGCAGCAGUAUAAAUUAAAGAGAAUGGUGAUGGUGUUCAAAAGGUUGUACAACAAAAGAGCAAAACAAAUAGGAAAACUUACAUUGGCAGGUUGUUUUAUAGGUGAUAAAACUACAUCUAAAGUGCAUUAGACUGAUUUUACUGAAAGGUCUGGCUAGUAGCUUGAAUGAGAUACUGUUGGUGCAGCAGCCACAAGGACAGUAAGAUGAGUCCAGGUCUGUGCAUGACACAAUACACUCACUCUGCUGUCCUACACCCCAUCCUGCGUGUGUAGAGAGGGAACAAACCACCUUGAGCCAAGCUGAUAGAGUUUCCUCAUGCUGCACUUUGGCUCAGCGCCACCCCGUCAUGCUGCGCUUGAGCGUUUCUCUGUUUUUACAAUAACUUCUACAUUUUCAUGUCUGGACAUGCCAACGGCUGCAGCUCAGCACCGAUUAAGCCCAAACACAUACAUCAUCUGACAUUGGCCGUGGGUGUAGAUUCACAGGAAUCAUUCUGAGCUACUAUAGUUCUCUGUGAAUUCUUGACUUUGAUCAAACCGUAUGGACCAUAGAGCUGAGUCCUGAAAUAACCUUUGUGGCUCAGAGGAUUGACUUAAGGCCAUUAAAUUACUACUGAGCAUGCACGGGUCACUGAACGCUGUUGGAUGGUAAUCACAUUAUUGCACAGAGAUUAUGACUAAUAUUAUAGCCUCUUAAUGAACACCACAUUGAAAUGGGUUGUAUGCAAGAAAUGACAGUUAAGUGGGACAAAUAAUGCGGAAGGCUUUUUUGUUUCACUUUUCCUUGUAAAGAAGGUGUAAUAUGAGACGGGUGUUGACAGCCGUUACAAGAUUGUAGUGCAACAAGAAAAAGGGAGCAGAUUCUAAUAAGAAGAAAAUUGUUUUGAUGAUAUAUUUAUAAAGUUUUAAUGAUUACAAAUUACAUUUUGAAAUGCAUGAUUAAAAGAAUGAUCCCCUUGUACUAUUUUAAAAAUAAAGCUACGUAUGUAGAAAAUACAAAAUGUGGUUUAUUUAAAGAGAUACCUUAUUUAAUACCAUAAUUUUUGCCACAGACUUUUAAUAAAUUGUAAAUUGUCCAAUCUUU